CAACCCUCAGGCCCCCGGGCCUGGCGUUGGGGAUCGGCGGAGCCCCCCGUGGGCACACGCCGUCCCCCAAAUACAGUGGCGGUCCCGCCGCAGCUUCCAUUGCGUAGUAGCUAACACCUCGCAACUGGAGAGCGGCGCGGCCACGCCGUAAAACACCCAACUUCUGAAUG
This 170-nucleotide unclassified non-coding RNA is filed under the name uncultured Fusarium. RNAcentral's name for it is "sequence contains ITS2". Lineage: Eukaryota; Fungi; Ascomycota; Sordariomycetes; Hypocreales; Nectriaceae. The record is from RNAcentral.